CUGCCGAUCAAGAUUGUGAGCAAACAACUUCGAUUACCGCUUUGAAACAACGACUAAAAGACAAACGUGCGCUGGCUCUGGAAAAUUCCACUGCCGCCAUGCAAUUGACGAAGCCACCUCCUGCAAGUUCAGGUUUUAACCACCGCGGACGGGAGAACAAUGCCUCGGCUACUGCCUUGAAGGCGAUUGAAGACCCGGCGCCAGGAGUGAGCUGCUUGCUAUGUGCUGAGCACGCAACAUGAAACAUCAACGCUACAGCCUGCACUGCAUGUACCUACACCAGCCUCUGCAUCUACACCUUCACUUCUAGAAACAAAAUUUGGUUUCAUUGUAGCCGGUAACUUACCAAACAUCCCUGCUGCUUCAAAUCCGGUAACAUUAUUUUGCAAAACAUGUGAUCACAAUAUUCAUGACAGCGUCACCCAACUGUGGAAAACUGAAUCAGUUCCAGAAAUAUAUCCUGAAAAGCUUUCAGAACAUGAAACUUGUGAACAACAAUUUAAGGAAUCUGUAACACUUGAGAACAAUAAAUUCACAGUGGGACUGCCACUAAAGUUGCCACUUGACUCCGUUAACCAAAUGUUGGGUGACACUCUCAAUUUAGCUCUAAAAAGGUUUUAUAACUUAGAAAAAAGAUUGCAAAAAGACCCAGUUCUACUUGAUCUUUAUUCCAACUUUAUUCAUGAAUAUAUUGACCUGGGCCAUGCCACAAAAAUUGAUAUUAAUCAAUACAAUCUUGAUAGGGACCCUGUUUAUUUUCUGCCUCAUCAUCCUGUUGUACGUAUGGACAAAAGAACCACUAAAUGUAGAACAGUGUUUGAUGCUUCAAUGAAAGGUAGUAAAAAGAUAGCUUUAAAUGAUAUAUUAUUGAAUGGACCUGUCGUACAAAACGAACUUUUUGAUGUUUUAAUUUUGUCACGGCUUGAGAAAUACAUAUUCAUUACAGAUGUUAAACAUAUGUUCAGAGCUAUAGAGCUUGAUGAAAAAUACAGAUCUCUACAAAAUAUUCUUUGGAGAGACAUUCCAACAGAUAAUUUGGAUUGUUUACAGUUGAAUACCGUUACUUACGGUAUGAAAAGCUCUUCUUAUUUAGCAACUCGUUGUCUAAUGGAAUUAGCCGAAAAUUAUUACAAAGAUCAUCCACAAGCUGCAUUUAUUUUAAAAAAUCAGACUUAUGUAGACGAUGUAAUAGGAACUGCUUCAUCCAUAGAGUCAUUGAUAGAGUCAAAGGAACAGCUUUGUAGAAUCAUGGAUUUAGGAGGUUUUAAGUUACAUAAAUGGUCAUCUAAUUCUCCCGAAUUGUUACAAAAUAUACCAUUAGAAAAACAAUAUUUUGAUGAUAUUGAAUUGCAAAAAAAUGAUCUUUUAUUGAAAACAUUAGGAAUUAAAUUUAAUGUGAAGUCAGAUAAUCUUAUCCUUGCCUCUCCUGUUUCAGAAGGAAAUGUACCCCAAACAAAACGCGAAAUCCUGAGCUUCAUCAGCAAGUUUUUCGACCCAUUGGGCCUGGCUGGUCCAAUUGUUGUUUCAGCUAAGCUUUUUAUACAAAAUUUAUGGAAGUCGCGUGUUGAUUGGGAUACAAAGGUUGAAGGUGACCUAAAAAAGACUUGGUUUGAUUAUUAUGAUAGCUUAACUAAAAUGAAUCCUAUAAAUAUCAAUAGGUACAUAUGCUUAGACAUGUCAGUUUGCUUUCAAUUAAUUGGGUUUGCUGACGCAUCAAGCACAGUUGCUUAUGGGUGCUGCAUUUAUCUCAGAGUCAUUGAUGCCGCAGGGAAUGUUAAAGUUUCUUUGUUAUGCGCUAAAUCGAGAAUUAAUCCACUCAAUAACAACCUCACAACACCAAGAUUGGAAUUGAAUGCUGCUUUACUACUUUCCAAACUUUGUGCUAAGGUACACAAAACAUUAUCUUUAAAAUUUAAAAUAAAUAACGUAUUUUUAUAUUCUGACUCACAAAUCGUAUUAGCAUGGAUUGCUACUGACAUCAUAAAACUAAACACGUAUGUUGCUAACCGUGUAAAGGAAAUUACACAAAAUACACAAAGGUGCACUUGGUCUUACAUAAACACUACAGAUAACCCUGCAGAUUGCUUAAGUAGAGGUCUCCUCCCGCACGAGUUCGAGUCUCACCCACUCUGGUGGAAAGGCCCUGGAUUUCUCCACACAAGUGAGUAUGAUUUGCCUUGUAAUGUUCCUGCAGUCAUGGAGGAUCUUCCAGAGUCGAAAAAGGAGCCAGCACAUACCUUGGUAUGUACCACCCAUGUACCUUUGAAUCUAAAUUUUUUAGACAAGUUCUCUAACCUGCACAAAAUGCAGCGAGUACUAGCAUAUAUACUCCGAUUCUGUAAAAAUACACGCACAAACUUGGACAGGGUUCAAUGUAACUAUCUCACUUCUAAGGAGCUAGAAAAGUCAUUAUUGUUAAUAGUAAAGUAUGAACAAGAAAGACAUAUGAAGGACUUAAUUCAUAAUGUUAGUAAUAACAAACCUCUCUCAGAGUGUAACCUACAAUCGUUGCAUCCAUUUGUUGAUGAUAAUGGCAUGUUAAGAGUGGGUGGUCGACUUGAAAAAUCAAGCUUGCCAUAUUCGCAAAAGCAUCCACUUAUCCUGCCUAAAGGUUCCCGUCUUAUAGAACUAAUUAUUAGAAGCGAGCAUAUAAAAAAUUUACAUGCAGGACCUAGACUACUAUUGUCAUCAAUAAAUCAAAAGUUUUGGAUCGUAAAUGCUUUGCGUGAAAUUAAAAAGGUUACCCAUAAGUGUGUAAUAUGUUGGAAACUCAAGAAAAAGGUUUCUGAGCAGUUAAUGGGCUCGUUGCCACACGACAGAAUAAAUGUAUGUCGUCCUUUUCAAAAAAUUGGAUUAGAUUUUUGUGGUCCCGUGUCAGUCAAACAAUCGACGAUGCGUAGGUCAAUAGUAGGUAGUGGGUACAUUUGCGUGUAUGUAUGCUUCACCACAAAGGCCGUACAUUUAGAGUUGUGUUCUGAUUUAAAAACACAAACAUUUUUAGCUUCAUUUAGGCGCUUUAUCUCACGUAGAGGACUUCCAACGGAUGUCUACUGCGACAAUGCUUCUAAUUUCAAAUGUGCUAACUCAGAGUUACAUAAAUUGUAUAAUUCCAAAGAACACCAAAAUCAGGUACAAGACUUUAGUAGUGAAAAAGGUAUAAACUUUCACUUCAUACCUUGUUAUUCACCAGUAUUUGGUGGCCUUUGGGAGGCCGCUGUUAAAAGCACCAAAUUCCAUCUAAAACGAGUAGUACAAAGGUCGUUACUUACUUUUGAACAAUUAAUAACUGUCUUGUAUGAAAUAGAGGCUAUUUUAAAUAGUAGACCUCUGUUACCAUUGUCUAAUGAUAUUACCGAUUACUCAUAUCUAACACCUGGUCAUUUUUUGAUAGGUACUGCCUUGAAUUCAUAUCCUGAAAAAGAUGUAACCAACAUUUCUAAUAAUAGAUUAACCUUUUGGCAGAAAUGUAAUGAUCUUAAACAAUCGUUUUGGAAGGUGUGGAGUAAUCAAUAUUUAAAUACUCUACAAAGUAGACCAAAAUGGAAAAAUAUGUUACCCAAUGUUGCUAUCGGUUCUCUAGUUAUUUUAAAAGAUGAUAACAGCUCGCCCAUGUAUUGGCCUAUGGCACGAGUAAUAAAUGUUUUUCCAGGUUCUGAUGGUUUAGUUCGUGCGGUUGAAGUAAAAACUGCCAAUGGCAAAACACAUAGGCGAUCUGUAACCAAAGUUUGUCAACUGCCAAUAAAUUAAGAUUUAAUUAUGAUUUAAUUAAGACAUUAAUUAGAAUUAAAUAAUUAGUUUGAUUUCUGUUUAAAUGAAACUCUCUCUGUUGUUAAACAAUUUUGUUUAUUAAGACUUAGUUUUAUAAAUAAGUGUAGUUUGUUCAUUAAGAUUCAGUUUAUAAAUGUUUGUUAUAUUUAGGUUCUUUGUAGGCCGCAAUAUGUUGGAAACACCAACAUUACAAACGUAAUUUUGGCUGUCAAUUUGACAACCAACUCUUUUUAUAGCUGUCAUAAUUUUUUUAUAAUAUAAUUCGCCAUAUUUGAUUUAUCGAACAUC
This is a long non-coding RNA of Pectinophora gossypiella (pink bollworm), 4056 nucleotides long. RefSeq lists it as uncharacterized. The record is from RefSeq and is a predicted model, not a curated record. The transcript is spliced from 3 exons. Lineage: Eukaryota; Metazoa; Arthropoda; Insecta; Lepidoptera; Gelechiidae.